Long non-coding RNA from Oreochromis niloticus (Nile tilapia), 5246 nucleotides. Lineage: Eukaryota; Metazoa; Chordata; Actinopteri; Cichliformes; Cichlidae. The record is from Ensembl.
ACAUUUAUAGUUUUAUUCACCACUCCUGUUAGUUUUGGAUGCGCUCGGCUCCAACCAAUCAGACCAAUUUACGCUAACGGCGCACUAAUCCCGUAACUGCACACUACCCAUAAGCCUCAAACACCGUUGCUAUGGAAAUGAAAAUAAUCAACAGCUUGGUGCUACCCGUUAUUCCUUUAUUUACUCUAAAAUAAUAACCAGCGAUAAUACGAAAAUAAACUGGCCCAGUGUUUAAUUAUGUAAUUACAAAUUGCAAAUUUUAUUUUUUUAUUUUAUUUUAUUUCAUUUUUUGCAAUAUUUAUCUACAGCGUGCCUUCAGCGACACGUAAACAGAUCUUAAGCAAGGCGAUUGGAUGGUUUUUACUGCAAUGCAUCUUGGGAGUCGUAGUAAAUGGAUCUUUCAACUCACCGUCCAGCGAAUUUUUCGACUCGACACGAGGCAGAUCUUAGCUAGAAAUUAUAAAGCCAAAAACCAAACCAUGCCCUUCCUGUCAGGCUCCAAGCACCUGCAACAGGAAGACAUGCAGUGGAUGCCUGGGCAGCCUGAACGUAAAGGAGGGAUUGAAAAAAAAAAAAACAAGAACAGCAACUGGGCUGCCUCUGUUAAAAAAAAACAGAAAUGCGAGCAGGGUGGUCAAUUCAGCCCAGUUAUCAGUAAGGUUUCAAAACUACAUGCCCUGCCAAUUCUGUUUCUUGGACAGUUUGACCGAAAGGGCCGUAUAGUAGGGGACGUGAUCACAUAGAGCCAGCGGAUGGUGCUGCACGUGACAUCCUCAUGAAGAUGAGGAAACUUUAUGAACACCUUCUGAGAAGUAAGAUAUGCUUUGUCCAUUAUCUGUGUCCUUAUCAGCCUAUCCUAGCUGUCUUUGGGUGAUACUCAUUGUACACCUUAGAUAAGUAGGCAGUUCACCACGAGAUAUAGAGACAAACAAGAUGGUGAAGAUGAGGAUAGUUAACAGUCACCAGCUAUUGUAUUCUAUUCUACUCUACUCUAUUUUGUUCUAUUCUAUUCUGUUUUUCAGCCAAGGUUCAGACCAGUAACCGUCUUGCUGUGAGGUGACACUGCCCUACAUGUCCUGUUGCUAACAUGAAAAUAGUGUUAUAUAUGCCUUAUUACCUCCCCAUGUGGUGUUCACGUCACCAAAGCUAGCCAUACUGAACCUCUGGUGUUACCCACCUGAACAAUUUUGUAUGUGUGUGUGUGUGUAUAGUAUGGUCUUUCACACUCAUAUAUAUAAAAAUGUAAUUUGAAAAAUCUUCUCGAAAACCAGACCUGAUAAUUCUCUUCGAGACUUUCUAGUAUAACAAAAGUCAUCAGCUAUCUGGAUUUAUAGUCACACUCAUUAAUUUAUUAAUGUACAAUGUAGAAAAGCACUACAGAUGUCACACUACCCCCGAGGGCACUUGUACUGAAUGAUUUGGGUCAGUGAGGGUGUGAGAUGACUUAUUUGAUGCCAAUAUUUACAAGUUGUAACUUUAGUAAAAACCUAACUGAAAACAUGCAAAACACUACUUAUUAUGUGUUUAUGUGUACUGUACGUUUUUUCAACCCAUUUUAAUGAAUAUUUAAUAUUUAAAAUUUUGCAGAAUUACAAGCUUCACCUCCUGCUAAAAAUUCUACACCAGCAGCUGGACCAUCCUCUGCUGACAGUGUCGAUGCUGGACCAGUCCCAGACCCAGAGGCUCUAAACGAGGAAUUUAUUCUUCAUUUAGAGCCUGAACCAACAUCUUCCCUCUGUCAGCCUCCUGUAUCCUCCUCUUCAUCUCUGCUUCCUCCUGCAUCCUCCUCUUCAUCUCCGCUUCCUGCAUUUCCCUCAAUUUCUACGGCGUACACCUCGGAUGUCCCAAACAAAAAAAGGACAAGGAAAGGUUAGAUGUUACGGUAUUGUAAAUGUACGAAAUACAUGACAGGUUCGUUAAGUUUGUUAAGAUUUCUUUUUCUUAAUUUUUGCAUUUUCUCCAGUCUUACAGACCUCAUGUAAAUAUUUCAUUUGUUAUUUUUCAGAAUGCCAAAAACACCGUACACAGAAGAUUUUCAAAUAUGAAGAGAUAGUAGACAGGAGAGUUGUAAAUGUAAGUAAUUUAGCCUGCUGUUGUGCAGAUUUGUUUGCAUCUUUGGACUUCCUGGACUUGAACUGUGCCUGACUGACUAUCCAUGAGCUUUUGUAUUUGAUGAAUCUACGCUAAUUCAGCCAUUGAGUCUGGAUUUCGCUCCAAGUAGGACAUUAAAUAGGAACAUACCACCUGAUACAACCUGGUCAUGCUGCCUUCCUGGUGUUUACGUUCUUUAAAGUCCUCCUGACAUCAUGCUCAGAAGGAGUGAUUGAUGUGGAGGUGCUCCUUCCCAUUCAGUAACAUCUGCUUCAGUUAGUUUUGCUUGUGAGCCACAAUGUAAGCAGUGUUGCUUUGCUGACAUGCACUCGAUGCUGGCAGUACAAGCAUUGUAGUGGUUCUUAUGUUUUUGUAAACUAUCCAUCCAUCCAUCCAUCCAUUCGCUUCCGCUUAUCCUUUUCAGGGUCGCGGGGGGCGCUGGAGCCUAUCCCAGCUGUCAUAGGGCGAGAGGCAGGGUACACCCUGGACAGGUCGCCAGUCUGUCGCAGGGCCAACACAUAGGGACAGACAACCAUUCGCACUCACAUUCACUCGCACAUUCACACCUAGUGGCAAUUUGGAUUAUCCAAUUAACCUAUCCCCACAAGUUGCAUGUCUUUGGACGGUGGGAGGAAGCGGAGUACCCGGAGGGAACCCACGCAAACACGGGGAGAACAUGCAGACUCCACACAGAAAGACCCCGGCCUGAUGGUGGAAUUGAACUCAGGACCUUCUUGCUGUGCGGCAACAGUGCUAACCACCGUGCCACCGUGCUGCCCAAACUAAACUAAUUGUAUAAUAUAUUGAGCCAUUCAAUAGUACACAAAUGUUUAUAAGCUCCUUUUUGUAUGCAACUUGCAUGUCUUUCUUAAUUAACUGUUUGUUUAUACAAUGUUUUUCAGGAAAAAGAAGUUAAAGUCAAGUGGAAGCCCUGCUCGAUAUGGUAUGUAGUAACAACUUUGUUGGACCGGAACAGACAUUUAUAUUGUUGAUAAAUAGUUCUCACCUCAGUUUGAAUUCAUGUAUUUGGACUAAAGUAAAUUGGGAGCUUUUAGCUUUUAGCUGAGGAGCUUGAUAGCAGUCCACCUCCAAAGUUCAUUAUGAGAUUUGGAGGUGGACAUGGUCAACACUUUUAAGAGUAGGCAUAAGACUUUACUUCUUUAUAGAGCUUAUAGUUAGGGCUGGUUCAGGUCAGCCUUUAGUUAUGCUGUCAUAGGACCAGACUGCUGUGGGUUAGUGUCCCCCCCCUCUCUCUCUCUCUCCUCUGUCUGUCUGUCUCUUUCAGGGUUAUGCAGGCUCAGUAUUGGUUGAAGAUGCAGUCACAUCUCCUUUUACUAAAAACUCUCCCCCUCUCCCUCACCAUCUGUAAGCAUACAUGUCUCAGUAAUGCAGUUCAUGCAUGUUGCUAACUAAACUUCUUCCCUGGAGUUUCUGUGCUCCAGCAGGUUCCGAUGGCUCGUGGCUGCUGCUGUGGUCCUGCUUGACAUCUACUCCAUAUAUUAUUACUCUCUGACUUGAUUUGAUUAAUUUAUAUUACAAUGAAGGUGUAUAAAGCAUGACAUGAAUAUAGAAAAUAUUUCAUCCUAAAAAAUUGUCAUAUGUCACAACCUAAAUUAUCCUAUUUUGUGUGUGGUUGUCGUUGUUGUUUAUGUUUUUCUCCUGACAGUGGCAAAGUGUGGGAUGACAGAUGAGAAUCUGCGCAGUUUUACACACAGUAAACCAGAUCCCUGUGUGCGAUCGCACAGUUCAGUUUGUAGUUCAGCAUAAAAGUUCAAAAUAAAAUAUUUACUAUACAUUUCAGCCAGUGUCAGUCUCUGUUUCACUCUCUAAUUUGUUUCAAGUAAAGUAAGUAACAUCUUGUAUGAGGUGAUUAGGGUCAGCAGUACUGUGUAUGGGAGCCUAAAGCAAAGUUAACUGCACCAGUAGCAGCUUCAGAACAUAUUGUAUAUUAUAUGUUUCUACCUUUUGCAAUAUGUCAUGUUUAGAUGCAGUGACAAUUGCACAUUUGGAAUUGUGGUCAUAUGUGGUUUUUAUACACAGGGUAUUAGAAAAUAAUUGAAAUUUUUUCUUGUUUGUUUACACAUUAUUAUUGUUAAUAUUAUUAUUAGAUACCAAAGACACAAUUUGAUUAAGGGUUUUCCUGUCAUUAUUUCAAUAAAAAUGCAAUUACACACGUAAACAAUAGGAUCAAAAUAAACUUAAAAAGUCUAUUAGCAAAUGCUGAUUUUCAAAACAUUCUAGAGGAAAAUAGAGAUAAAAUAAUCUGAAUAAUAACAGUGACCUUGGAUGAUGAUGGAGACUUCAAUGGAUUAUUCUGUUUCAAUCAAUAUUUUCAUAUCUAUGACAAUAAUUUGAUAAGAUCAAAGAAGGCAAUGAUUCCAAAAUGGGAGUUAUGUCAUUAUAUAUAUCCAGGAAUAUGUGCCUGAGGAUAGUUGUCACGAAAUCAAUAUUAAAUCAAAGUAUUCCUUAAUUACCACAGCUGACACGAGUUCUCCAUAGCUGCCUGCUGUCUCAGGAUCUGUCUCCAAAAAGGACCAGGGAGAACUAACAUGUUCUAAACUGAUGCAGAAAAUGCACAUUAAACAUAAUAUAAACUUACUGAGUGAAGUAAUGUCAAGAGGAUUCCUUUAGCUCCUAUUGGGUUGGUUCCUUGAUCAAUGCAAUACAGAAUCAUUAAUUUGGUUUUAUGUAAUGUCCUUAAAACACGUCAAAAUGAGGCUCUGUAGUCUGUGUGGCCUCCACAUGUCUGUAUGACCUCCCUACAACACCUGGGCAUGCUCCUGAUGAAGUGGCAGAUGCUCUCCUGAGGGAUCUCCUCCCAGACUCCUGGACAUUUUGUGCUGCAGUUGGUGGAUGGAGCGAGACAUGAUGUCCCAGAUGUCCUCAAUUGCAUUCAGGUGUGGGGAACGGGUGGGCCAGUCCACAGCAUCAAUACCUUUGUCUUGCAGGAACUGCUGACACACUCCAGCCACAUGAGGUCUAGCAUUGUCUUGCAUUAGGAGGAACCCGGGGCCAACCGCACCAGCAUAUGGUCUCACAAGGGGCCUGAAGAUCUCAUCUCAGUACCUAAUGGCAGUCAGGCUACCUCUGCCGAACACAUGGAGGGCUGUGCGGUCCCCAAAGAGAUGCCACCCCACACCAAAACUGACCCACUG